GGGGGAGGGGGGGGGGGGGGGGGAGGCGGGCGGGUGGAGGGAAGAGACGAGGAGCUUGCUGCUCUGACGUGAGCGGCGGACGUGUGAGUAACACGUUGAUAACCUGCCUGUAAUACUUGGAGAACUUCGGGAAACCGGAGAUAAUACAGUGGAAUAUAUUGUACCGCAUGGUUUACUACUGAAACACAGUUUUGCUUUUACUGUUGUAUGGAUCCGCGCCCCAUUAGCUCUUUGGGAAGGUAAAGGCUUCCCCAGGCAACGUUGCGUAGCCGACCUGAGACGGUGAUAGGCCACACUGGAACUGAGACACGGUCCAGACUUCUACGGGAGGCAGCAGUAGGGAAUCUUCCGCAAUGAGCGAAAGCCUGACGGAGCAACGCCGCGUGAGUGAUGAAGGUCUUCGGAUCGUAAAACUCUGUUAUUAGGGAAGAACAAAUGUGUAAGUAACUAUGCACGUCUUGACGGUACCUAAUCAGAAAGCCACGGCUAACUACGUG
This 497-nucleotide ribosomal RNA is filed under the name uncultured bacterium. RNAcentral describes it as "partial 16S ribosomal RNA". It matches the Rfam family "Bacterial small subunit ribosomal RNA", at positions 28 to 507 of the family's 1533-position model. The record is from RNAcentral.